GGUGUUGUAGCUCAACGGCUAGAGCAUCCGGCCUGUAACCGGAAGGUUGGGGGUUCGAAUCCCUCCAGCACCU
RNAcentral lists this transfer RNA (73 nucleotides) under archaeon. RNAcentral describes it as "tRNA-Thr". It matches the Rfam family "tRNA". Rfam says of the family: Transfer RNA (tRNA) molecules are approximately 80 nucleotides in length. Their secondary structure includes four short double-helical elements and three loops (D, anti-codon, and T loops). The record is from RNAcentral. RNAcentral also lists the same sequence under 1 other name.